This is a long non-coding RNA of Chenopodium quinoa (quinoa), 1529 nucleotides long. RefSeq lists it as uncharacterized. The record is from RefSeq and is a predicted model, not a curated record. Lineage: Eukaryota; Viridiplantae; Streptophyta; Magnoliopsida; Caryophyllales; Amaranthaceae. The transcript has 3 exons.
GGGGGGGGAUUGCUUGGAUUGCAAGCACUAGUAUUAUGAAAUUUUCCGGGUUAGUCCACUUCGUCCUCUUAUUAUAUACUACUAGAUGUGCCCCGUCGUCUUUCAGUAUAGUCAUUACCUUAUCUAUUUCCCAUUGUGUUGUAUUAUUACUUAUUUUCUACAAUACUGAUCGUGCUUUUAGCCUAUAAUUGGUGAUAAUGGCAACAGUCGAUUCUAAACCCCAAUUGUGAGGUUUGUGACUUCCAUGUGCUUAUUGUGAAAUAGAUAUGAUAACUAGAGUGCAAUUGCAAUAUUGGACUGCUGCAACCCUUAAUUAUGCAGGUAUAUUAUAGCUAUGUCUUCAGUGUUUCCGAGCAUUUUUAUGUUAUCAUGAUCUUUGCAUCCUCUGUCAGAACAAGCUCUUCACAGAAUCACAUAUAUCUUUUUUCUUGAAAGAAACACAUUUAGGCCCUGUUUAGUUUGAUGUAAAAUGUUUUCAUGGAAAAUGAGUUUCCCAUUUUCCUUUGUUUGAUUUGUGAAGAGGUGGAAAAUAAUAUUCCAAAUGGUGGAAAAUUGCAUCCAUAAUAGGGGAAAACAUUUUUCUUUAUAAAACAUGAGAAGCCACAUUUUCCUCCCUUUCCCUUAUCUCCUUUUUAUUUUUCUCUCAUCCAUCUCCACGUUUCCAUUCCUAUUUUUAAUUUCUCUUAAUUUUUCUUGUAAGAACCAAACAAAGGAAAACUAUCUUGCAAGUGUGGUUUUCAUUGAAAAUAUGUUUUUCAUUAAAACUAGUUUUUUAUUGAAAAUAUAAUACAUCAAACCAAAACGGGGCCUUAAGUUGCCUAAUUUUUUAUAGUAUAACAUCUCUGCUUUAUCUGAAAACUGUUGUUUACUCAAGCUUUUUUCCCCCCUCUCUUCUUGGAGCACAGGUGCAGCUUGUGAGUCUGUAUUGACAAUAUUGAUUGCUCAAUUCAGAUCAUAUUAGAAGGUUCAACACUUACAGGCUUGAAUUCUGAAUCUGGUGGUGGUACAGCUGCAUAGGCUUGGAUAUUAGAUCUUGUACUCUAUUUGCAGGAUAUUAUAAGAUUAUUCCGGUUGAUUAAUCUGAUUGUGGUUGCACCAACAAUGGCUGCUGUAGGUUUAGCAUUUUUCAGCUACGGGUUUCCUCAAGCUGGCAGUUGUGUUGAAAUAAGCAUACCCCUUAUAGUGUUGCUUCUUUUCUUCACCUUGUGUUGUGCCUGCUGUGCUGUGAUGUCGAGUUUUCCUGUGUUGGUGUGAUGCGUUGCUGUGUUGCUGUCUGCUUCCUUUUGCAGUGCUGUGUUGCGGUUUCUGGGGUGCUCUGAUGCUGAGUUGAUGUGCUUGCUCUGCUGCUUUGGUGUUGCGCUGUGUUUUAUUAUUUUUGUAGCCUGUUGAGCUGCUUAGUUUGGGCUGUUUAAUUUAGUUAGAUGUUUGCUGUUUAUAUGCUUCAUUAGAACAGGUUUUUGGAGUAUUAGAAGUAAAUUUUGUAACUUUAUAUAUAUGUUAGUGUUUAUAUAUCAAUUUUAGUGAAAAAA